This 440-nucleotide ribosomal RNA is filed under the name uncultured bacterium. RNAcentral's name for it is "bacterial SSU rRNA". It matches the Rfam family "Bacterial small subunit ribosomal RNA", at positions 340 to 774 of the family's 1533-position model. The record is from RNAcentral.
UACGGGAGGCAGCAGUGGGGAAUAUUGCACAAUGGGCGCAAGCCUGAUGCAGCCAUGCCGCGUGUAUGAAGAAGGCCUUCGGGUUGUAAAGUACUUUCAGUCGUGAGGAAGGUGUUAAGGUUAAUAACCUUAGCAAUUGACGUUAGCGACAGAAGAAGCACCGGCUAACUCCGUGCCAGCAGCCGCGGUAAUACGGAGGGUGCGAGCGUUAGUCGGAAUUACUGGGCGUAAAGGGCACGCAGGCGGUUAAUUAAGUUGGAUGUGAAAUCCCCGGGCUUAACCUGGGAAUGGCAUUCAAGACUGGUUAGCUAGAGUCUUGUAGAGGGGGUAGAAUUCCAUGUGUAGCGGUGAAAUGCGUAGAGAUGUGGAGGAAUACCGGUGGCGAAGGCGGCCCCUGGACAAAGGCUGACGCUCAUGUGCGAAAGCGUGGGGAGCAAACG